This 253-nucleotide ribosomal RNA is filed under the name uncultured bacterium. Its description in RNAcentral is "partial 16S ribosomal RNA". It matches the Rfam family "Bacterial small subunit ribosomal RNA", at positions 524 to 776 of the family's 1533-position model. The record is from RNAcentral.
UACGGAGGGGACUAGCGUUGUUCGGAAUUACUGGGCGUAAAGCGCACGUAGGCGGAUUGUUUAGUCAGGGGUGAAAUCCCGAGGCUCAACCUCGGAACUGCCUUUGAUACUGGCAAUCUCGAGUCCGGAAGAGGUGAGUGGAAUUCCUAGUGUAGAGGUGAAAUUCGUAGAUAUUAGGAAGAACACCAGUGGCGAAGGCGACUCACUGGACACGUAUUGACGCUGAGGUGCGAAAGCGUGGGGAGCAAACAGG